UCUUGGGAGAAGCACGAGUGACGUCAAUAACGAGCGAGCCAGAGAGCUGCAUUACCUAGAGGAAAGACAGAGACGCAGCAGAAAUCUUCGGACUACUUUGUCAUUUUAAAAUAAUUUUAAAAGUUUUUAGGACAAAUAUACGAUUUCAACACAAGUGUUUUGGAGGAUCUGCCGCUGUUCAUCCAUAAAAUUUUAAGUUUGCACGGACAGUCUGGCUAUUCCUCAUGCUGAGUCUGGAUCAGAACCUAAUCAACACAAACAUCUCAUUCAUGUCUGCAUUGUACCUCAUGUUCGGGAGAUACUACUGUUAAUAUCCAUUAUCCAUCUGAGCUGGCUUCAACUCUGGAGUUUCUUCAAAGGUGUUUUGUCUCAAUAAACCUAAAAAAGGGAAGCAAAGUACAGAGUAAAAACUCCAAGCGUCCUCUCAACUUGAACCCUCGAGUCCUUACCCUGAUACAGGAACUCUCCGAUCAUGAGUGGCGUUAAGCCUAAAUAUGGACUCUUUCUGUUGACUCUGACUGUUUGUUUGAGAAGAGGUACCGUUUUCACUUUGUUAAAUCCACAAAUUGUGUUAUGGUUAAGGCACUAUUUAAUUUGUUUUAAACUCUUAAAGGUGCACUGUAACUCUUUCUGGUAGAGGGUCUGUAUGUAUCUUGCAUUUAUUCAAUUAGAACUGUUUUUAAUGCAAAAACCUUAACAAACCUGCGAUCUUACUGUAAGAGGGCUUGCCUCUCCACAGAUCUGACCCGUUGAAAAUAACUUUUCAAACUCAGUUUAAAAAUAAAAAAAAUGCAUCCAGUUGUUUACAACUAUUUUGAUGGCUAUCAAAUAAAUUUUGCAAAAGUGA
This is a long non-coding RNA of Tachysurus fulvidraco (yellow catfish), 847 nucleotides long. RefSeq lists it as uncharacterized. The record is from RefSeq and is a predicted model, not a curated record. The transcript is spliced from 3 exons. NCBI's taxonomy places the organism in Eukaryota, Metazoa, Chordata, Actinopteri, Siluriformes, Bagridae.